Molecule: ribosomal RNA, 385 nt
Filed under: uncultured bacterium
Lineage: Bacteria
Description: bacterial SSU rRNA
Rfam family: Bacterial small subunit ribosomal RNA
Source: RNAcentral
AGUGAACGCUGGCGGCAGGCCUAACACAUGCAAGUCGAACGGCAGCACAGCAGUAGCAAUACUGUGGGUGGCGAGUGGCGGACGGGUGAGGAAUACAUCGGAAUCUGCCUAGUCGUGGGGGAUAACGUAGCGAAAGUUACGCUAAUACCGCAUACGAACUAAGGUUGAAAGCGGGGGAUCUUCGGACCUCGUGCUCAUGGAGUGGCCGAUAUCUGAUUAGCUAGUUGGUGAGGUAAAGGCUCACCAAGGCGACGAUCAGUAGCUGGUUUGAGAGAACGACCAGCCACACUGGAACUGAGACACGGUCCAGACUCCUACGGGAGGCAGCAGUGGGGAAUUUUGGACAAUGGGCGCAAGCCUGAUCCAGCAAUGCCGCGUGAGUGAA